GACGAACGCUGGCGGCGCGCCUAACACAUGCAAGUCGAACGGAGUUAUUUUCUUCACUCCGAGCUUUUUGCCGGUUAGCCGGAGCGGCGAUCGGUUUUGCCCAGCAUAAAAAGCAAAACCAAUUUAGGCUCAUAAAGUAAGACUAACACAGAGGGCAGAGAGUUGGGAGUGAAGAAAAUAACUUAGUGGCGAACGGGUGAGUAACGCGUGAGUAACCUGCCCUGGAGUGGGGGACAACAGUUGGAAACGACUGCUAAUACCGCAUAAGCCCACGGCCCGGCAUCGGGCUGCGGGAAAAGGAUUUAUUCGCUUCAGGAUGGACUCGCGUCCAAUUAGCUGGUUGGUGAGGUAACGGCCCACCAAGGCGACGAUUGGUAGCCGGACUGAGAGGUUGAACGGCCACAUUGGGACUGAGACACGGCCCAGACUCCUACGGGAGGCAGCAGUGGGGGAUAUUGCACAAUGGGGGAAACCCUGAUGCAGCGACGCCGCGUGGAGGAAGAAGGUUUUCGGAUUGUAAACUCCUGUCGUUAGGGACGAUAAUGACGGUAC
This 552-nucleotide ribosomal RNA is filed under the name uncultured bacterium. RNAcentral's name for it is "bacterial SSU rRNA". It matches the Rfam family "Bacterial small subunit ribosomal RNA", at positions 28 to 478 of the family's 1533-position model. The record is from RNAcentral.